CGGCGACUCCCUCUCCAAGCUCUCCCCCCUCUCCGACAACACCCACCUCUUCUACGUCGCCCUGGCCCACCGCGGCUCCGAGUCCGGCAACAUCCCCGCCAACUCCUCCAUGUCGAUUUUCUUGAAAGAGUUGGCGAUUACAGGGAUUGAUGAUCGGAGAUAUUGGAAUUAUAUUCCAACUGAGGAAUCUAGUGUUCUAAUGGACAUACUAUAUGCUCCGGCUGCAAACCUAGGGUACACAACUGUUGUCCCGCAUGCAGACAUGAACUUGGCAACAUUAGAUGUCUUGCUCUCGAAAAGAUAGCUGCUUCUCUUGAACUGCCUUGUAAAAUACACAUGGGUAUAUUGGCGGAUAUGAAGAAGGAGAACGAGUACAAAAGAGCUGGUUGGUGUUAUACACAUUUGUUGGUGUAUUUCAUGUUGUAUGGACUUGUCAAUGUAUUUCUUAGUUUAUUUAAUCUUGUAUGGACUUGUUGAUGUAUUGUUAUAUUUGUUGGUUUGUAUGAUGUUGUAUGGACCUAUCAUGUAUUUUGUGAA
This is a long non-coding RNA of Asparagus officinalis (garden asparagus), 537 nucleotides long. RefSeq lists it as uncharacterized. The record is from RefSeq and is a predicted model, not a curated record. The transcript has 2 exons. NCBI's taxonomy places the organism in Eukaryota, Viridiplantae, Streptophyta, Magnoliopsida, Asparagales, Asparagaceae.